AUUUUACAUACUCAUACCACUUCAUCUAGUUUAUUAAGAACUGAACCUGAAACAUUGGAGUAUCAUAGUCGCCUGUGAAGCCACGUUUACAAAGGUAUGGAAAGAAUACAGUAUCAACAUAAUAACAUUUGGAGUUGCACUCAUUGUUAUCCUUCUGCUUGUGAGGCAUAAAUUUCCUUCUUGUUAAAUGGUUUGCUUCUCCGUGGAACAUCAGCCAAAUUACAGAAUUCGGUCAAAGUCUUCCUGAUUUGAACUUUCUUCUUUUUAUCUGGUGGCCGAGGUCCUAAAACACUUGUGUCAAUAGUAGCCCCAUAAGCUUCAGAGGAAUGCAUAACUGCAUCAUAAGCCUUC
RNAcentral lists this long non-coding RNA (351 nucleotides) under Populus trichocarpa (black cottonwood). Its description in RNAcentral is "long non-coding RNA (PTRI_LNC003818)". Lineage: Eukaryota; Viridiplantae; Streptophyta; Magnoliopsida; Malpighiales; Salicaceae. The record is from RNAcentral.